This 331-nucleotide unclassified non-coding RNA is filed under the name soil metagenome. RNAcentral describes it as "partial contains 5.8S ribosomal RNA, internal transcribed spacer 2, and large subunit ribosomal RNA". The stretch from base 1 to 120 matches the Rfam family "5.8S ribosomal RNA", at positions 35 to 154 of the family's 154-position model. The record is from RNAcentral.
GAUGAAGAACGUAGCGAAAUGCGAUAAGUAAUGUGAAUUGCAGAAUUCAGUGAAUCAUCGAAUCUUUGAACGCACAUUGAGCCCCCUGGUAUUCCGGGGGGCAUGCCUGUUCGAGCGUCAUUUCACCACUCAAGCCUCGCUUGGUAUUGGGCAUCGCGGUCCGCCGCGUGCCUCAAAUCGACCGGCUGGGUCUUCUGUCCCCUAAGCGUUGUGGAAACUAUUCGCUAAAGGGUGUUCGGGAGGCUACGCCGUAAAACAACCCCAUUUCUAAGGUUGACCUCGGAUCAGGUAGGGAUACCCGCUGAACUUAAGCAUAUCAAUAAGCGGAGGA